Aedes aegypti (yellow fever mosquito) is the source of this 337-nucleotide long non-coding RNA. RefSeq lists it as uncharacterized. The transcript is spliced from 2 exons. NCBI's taxonomy places the organism in Eukaryota, Metazoa, Arthropoda, Insecta, Diptera, Culicidae. The record is from RefSeq and is a predicted model, not a curated record.
UCGCAAUCUAAUUAGUAUUUUUCAUUUUCACCGUGUACUUUUCUCCCAUUUUGACGUUCAAGGGAUUUACCCAUUAAAGGGUGAAAAAUUUCUUGGAGUUUCUCACUAAUCAUUCUAGUGAUCAAUGUUUAGCAACAAAAACUGCUUGUGUAAAAUAAAAAUGAUUAAAUUUAAAAUUAAAUUAAAUGGCUUGGUAGGAAAGGAUGUGCUGCAUAAAACGAAUAGGAAUCAAGGACCCUGAUUGGAAAAAUCAUUUGCUACCGAAUGUGCUGCUGCUAUGAUUAUUAUAAUAUAUAUUUAUCUUUAUGAAUAAAGCUACCUAAUUAAUCCAAUCUGA